CAGUAGCCGCGGUAAUACGGAGGGCGCGAGCGUUACCCGGAUUUACUGGGCGUAAAGGGCGUGUAGGCGGCCUUGGGUGUCCCAUGUGAAAGGCCACGGCUCAACCGUGGAGGAGCGUGGGAUACGCUCAGGCUAGAGGGUGGGAGAGGGUGGUGGAAUUCCCGGAGUAGCGGUGAAAUGCGCAGAUACCGGGAGGAACGCCGAUGGCGAAGGCAGCCACCUGGUCCACUUCUGACGCUGAGGCGCGAAAGCGUGGGGAGCAAACCGGAUUAGAUACCCCGGUAGUCCCUGUCUCUUAUAC
RNAcentral lists this ribosomal RNA (301 nucleotides) under uncultured bacterium. RNAcentral's name for it is "partial 16S ribosomal RNA". It matches the Rfam family "Bacterial small subunit ribosomal RNA", at positions 509 to 807 of the family's 1533-position model. The record is from RNAcentral.